RNAcentral lists this ribosomal RNA (420 nucleotides) under uncultured Sulfitobacter sp. Its description in RNAcentral is "bacterial SSU rRNA". It matches the Rfam family "Bacterial small subunit ribosomal RNA", at positions 56 to 523 of the family's 1533-position model. Lineage: Bacteria; Pseudomonadati; Pseudomonadota; Alphaproteobacteria; Rhodobacterales; Roseobacteraceae. The record is from RNAcentral.
UGCAGUCGAGCGAGACCUUCGGGUCUAGCGGCGGACGGGUUAGUAACGCGUGGGAACGUGCCCUUCUCUGCGGAAUAGCCACUGGAAACGGUGAGUAAUACCGCAUACGCCCUUCGGGGGAAAGAUUUAUCGGAGAAGGAUCGGCCCGCGUUAGAUUAGAUAGUUGGUGGGGUAACGGCCUACCAAGUCUACGAUCUAUAGCUGGUCUUAGAGGAUGAUCAGCAACACUGGGACUGAGACACGGCCCAGACUCCUACGGGAGGCAGCAGUGGGGAAUCUUAGACAAUGGGCGCAAGCCUGAUCUAGCCAUGCCGCGUGUGUGAUGAAGGUCUUAGGAUCGUAAAGUACUUUCGCCAGGGAUGAUAAUGACAGUACCUGGUAAAGAAACCCCGGCUAACUCCGUGCCAGCAGCCGCGGUAA